Molecule: ribosomal RNA, 420 nt
Filed under: uncultured bacterium
Lineage: Bacteria
Description: bacterial SSU rRNA
Rfam family: Bacterial small subunit ribosomal RNA
Source: RNAcentral
UAAGGAAUAUUGCUCAAUGGGAGAAAUCCUGAAGCAGCAACGCCGCGUGGAGGAUGAAGGGUCUAUGACUUGUAAACUCCUGUAAAGAAGGAAAAAAUUCCCAUUAGAUGGGAGAUGAUGGUACUUCUGGAGUAAGCCCCGGCUAACUACGUGCCAGCAGCCGCGGUAAUACGUAGGGGGCAAGCGUUGUCCGGAUUUACUGGGUGUAAAGGGCGCGCAGGCGGGAUAAAAAGUCAGUGGUGAAAUCCUACAGCUUAACUGUAGAACUGCCUUUGAUACUUUUAUUCUUGAGUUCGGGAGAGNGAGACGGAAUUCCAGGUGUAGUGGUGAAAUACGUAGAUAUCUGGAAGAACACCAGUUGCGAAGGCGGUCUCUUGGUCCGAUACUGACGCUGAGGCGCGAAAGCGUGGGGAGCAAACA